GAUCAUGGCUCAGGAUGAACGCUGGCGGCGUGCUUAACACAUGCAAGUCGAACGAAGCACUUAAGAUUGAUUCUUCGGAUGAAGUCUUUUGUGACUGAGUGGCGGACGGGUGAGUAACGCGUGGGUAACCUGCCUCAUACGGGGGGAUAACAGUUAGAAAUGACUGCUAAUACCGCAUAAGCGCACAGGGUCGCAUGACCUGGUGUGAAAAACUCCGGUGGUAUGAGAUGGACCCG
Molecule: ribosomal RNA, 236 nt
Filed under: uncultured bacterium
Lineage: Bacteria
Description: partial 16S ribosomal RNA
Rfam family: Bacterial small subunit ribosomal RNA
Source: RNAcentral